Molecule: ribosomal RNA, 292 nt
Filed under: uncultured bacterium
Lineage: Bacteria
Description: partial 16S ribosomal RNA
Rfam family: Bacterial small subunit ribosomal RNA
Source: RNAcentral
GUGUCAGCCGCCGCGGUAAUACAGAGGUCCCGAGCGUUGUUCGGAUUUACUGGGCGUAAAGGGUGCGUAGGCGGCGGGGAAAGUUCGGGGUGAAAUCUCCAGGCUCAACUUGGAAAAUGCCCUGAAGACUUCCCUGCUGGAGGGUCGCAGAGGAGACUGGAAUUCUCGGUGUAGCAGUGAAAUGCGUAGAUAUCGAGAGGAACACCAGUGGCGAAAGCGGGUUUCUGGGCGACACCUGACGCUGAGGCACGAAAGCCAGGGGAGCAAACGGGAUUAGAUACCCUAGUAGUCC